GUCAUCUGUAGCUUAAUUUUUUAAAAGCGCGGCACUGAAGAUGCUGAGACGAAAGAACCAAACCUUUCCAUAGACA
This 76-nucleotide transfer RNA is filed under the name Psammodromus algirus. RNAcentral's name for it is "tRNA-Phe". The record is from RNAcentral. Lineage: Eukaryota; Metazoa; Chordata; Lepidosauria; Squamata; Lacertidae.